Molecule: ribosomal RNA, 513 nt
Filed under: uncultured Acidobacteriota bacterium
Lineage: Bacteria; Pseudomonadati; Acidobacteriota
Description: SSU rRNA
Rfam family: Bacterial small subunit ribosomal RNA
Source: RNAcentral
CAGCCAGUUGGUAGGGUAAAGGCCUACCAAAGCAAAGAUCGGUAGCCGGCCUGAGAGGGCACACGGCCACACUGGCACUGAGACACGGGCCAGACUCCUACGGGAGGCAGCAGUGGGGAAUCUUGCACAAUGGGGGAAACCCUGAUGCAGCGACGCCGCGUGAACGAUGAAGCCCUUCGGGGUGUAAAGUUCUUUCGGCAGGGAAGAUGAUGACGGUACCUGCAGAAGCAGCUGCGGCUAACUACGUGCCAGCAGCCGCGGUAAUACGUAGGCAGCGAGCGUUGUUCGGAGUUACUGGGCGUAAAGGGUGUGUAGGCGGCUUUCUAAGUUUGGUGUGAAAUCUCCCGGCUCAACCGGGAGGGUGCGCCGAAAACUGGGAGGCUAGAGUGUGGGAUGGGAGAGUAGAAUUCCUGGUGUAGCGGUGAAAUGCGUAGAUAUCAGGAGGAAUACCGGUGGUGUAGACGGCUCUCUGGACCGCAACUGACGCUGAGACACGAAAGCGUGGGUAGCAAA